GUGCCAGCAGCCGCGGUAAUACAGAGACUGCAAGCGUUAUUCGGAUUCACUGGGCGUAAAGGGUGCGCAGGCGGCCGAGUGUGUUAGAUGUGAAAUCCCGGGGCUCAACCCCGGAACUGCGUCUAAAACUACUUGGCUAGAGUAUUGGAGAGGGUAUCGGAAUUCACGGUGUAGCAGUGAAAUGCGUAGAUAUCGUGAGGAACACCAGAGGCGAAGGCGGAUACCUGGACAAUUACUGACGCUCAGGCACGAAAGCGUGGGGAGCAAAAGGGAUUAGAUACCCCUGUAGUCC
This 292-nucleotide ribosomal RNA is filed under the name uncultured bacterium. Its description in RNAcentral is "partial 16S ribosomal RNA". It matches the Rfam family "Bacterial small subunit ribosomal RNA", at positions 505 to 796 of the family's 1533-position model. The record is from RNAcentral.